Long non-coding RNA from Oxyura jamaicensis (ruddy duck), 932 nucleotides. RefSeq lists it as uncharacterized. The transcript has 3 exons. The record is from RefSeq and is a predicted model, not a curated record. Lineage: Eukaryota; Metazoa; Chordata; Aves; Anseriformes; Anatidae.
CCGAGGGGACGGGGGACAGUGGCCCCGAGGGGGUGGUGGCCCCGACAGGAUGGUGGCCCUGCUCCUCUUGCUUCUACGGUCCCCCCGGUGCGCGGGAAGGAGACUUCAGUGUUGGUUGCAGCAAGGCUGGUGGCCUUCAGAAAGAGGUGAUGGGCUCGGAGGGGGAGGAUCAGUGUGUAAAAAUGGCAAAAAAAAAAAAAAGAAAUGGAAAGUCUUGGGUUGAAGGUCUCCAGGGUGGUAGGGUUGAGGGCUUUCCGAGCUUUCCGUGCCCAUGGAGGAGCUCAGCACCUUCCUGAAGCAAGGCUUGGCGGUGGCUGUGCAGGGCCCCAGAAAGGUUUUCUUAGCAUUUUUUAAAACUUCACUCACAUUUUUAAAAAAUUAUUAAUUUAAAGCUAGUUCUUGGCUGGUGCAAAGAAAGGUUUGGGGGAUUUCUGGUGCCCCGUGCGGGACCUCACUGUCCCACCGAGCCUUCUGGAUCUGCGCUAGGUUUGGGGUCUGCUGAAACCAUGCUGGUUGUUGUCAGCGGGGGCAAUCCAGCUGGUUUUCUCAACCCUGCUGCGAAAUUGCCAGUGCUCAGUAGGAGCUCUGAAGCAGCAGCUAGCUUCUAGGCUUUUAGGGAAAAAAAAACCACCACUACCAGUGCGCGCUGCACUCCAAGCCGGCGCACCGAAGGCUGAUGCUGCCACCUGCUGCCGCAUGACACCAAUUUCUCCUUGCUUUAUCCCCAAAAGCCUCCUGCUCCAGCAUCCACAUUAGAGUGGGGGCUUGGGGCACGUGUCCCAGGACACUGGGGUCGGUGAAGGCGCAGAGGCAGCAGAGCCACCCGCAGAGCUCCCCGUGCCCCCACGCACCGCCCGGCUGAGCCUGCGUUUUGCGUCAUUUCACCCCGCCAUCACACCAUCGUCACCUUUUCUUUUCUAACUUUGUUUCUC